UCUGCCUGUGGCCUAGUGGGCAAGGUUACAGUCUUGGGAACACAGGGUCGUAGGUUCAAGCCCAACUAGGAGUG
Molecule: transfer RNA, 74 nt
Filed under: Anguilla anguilla (European eel)
Lineage: Eukaryota; Metazoa; Chordata; Actinopteri; Anguilliformes; Anguillidae
Description: tRNA-OTHER
Source: RNAcentral